UACAGGGGGUGCAAACGUUGCUCGGAAUCAUUGGGCGUAAAGCGCACGUAGGCGGUUCGUUAUGUCGGAUGUGAAAGCCCUUGGCUCAACUAAGGAAGUGCAUCCGAAACUGGCAGGCUGGAGUACUAAAGAGGGUCGCGGAAUUCCCGGUGUAGAGGUGAAAUUCGUAGAUAUCGGGAGGAACACCGGUGGCGAAGGCGGCGACCUGGGUAGAUACUGACGCUGAGGUGCGAAAGCGUGGGGAGCAAACAGG
This 253-nucleotide ribosomal RNA is filed under the name uncultured bacterium. RNAcentral describes it as "partial 16S ribosomal RNA". It matches the Rfam family "Bacterial small subunit ribosomal RNA", at positions 524 to 776 of the family's 1533-position model. The record is from RNAcentral.